Molecule: ribosomal RNA, 536 nt
Filed under: uncultured bacterium
Lineage: Bacteria
Description: bacterial SSU rRNA
Rfam family: Bacterial small subunit ribosomal RNA
Source: RNAcentral
AAUUAUUAAAGAAUUUCGGUUGUCGAUGGGGAUGCGUUCCAUUAGGCAGUUGGCGGGGUAACGGCCCACCAAACCUACGAUGGAUAGGGGUUCUGAGAGGAAGGUCCCCCACAUUGGAACUGAGACACGGUCCAAACUCCUACGGGAGGCAGCAGUGAGGAAUAUUGGUCAAUGGACGAGAGUCUGAACCAGCCAAGUAGCGUGAAGGAUGACUGCCCUAUGGGUUGUAAACUUCUUUUAUACGGGAAUAAAGUGAGCCACGUGUGGCUUUUUGUAUGUACCGUAUGAAUAAGGAUCGGCUAACUCCGUGCCAGCAGCCGCGGUAAUACGGAGGAUCCGAGCGUUAUCCGGAUUUAUUGGGUUUAAAGGGAGCGUAGGCGGGUUGUUAAGUCAGUUGUGAAAAGUUUGCGGCUCAACCGUAAAAUUGCAGUUGAUACUGGCGACCUUGAGUGCAACAGAGGUAGGCGGAAUUCGUGGUGUAGCGGUGAAAUGCUUAGAUAUCACGAAGAACUCCGAUUGCGAAGGCAGCUUACUGG